GAGUCCCACGGGAUGCGCUGCAUGGGCACGGAGCGGCCCCUCACAGGGAGCACCCAGCGGGUGCCUGCGGGUCCGCACACGGCACAGCCACCCCCGGCACGGGCUCUCCUUGAGGCGGCGAAGAUCUUGUGUAAGAGAAACGUGUGCGUCAGGAGACCUGACAAAACACAGCACCUCCACCGCCAGCGAGACAAAAACCAGCCAACACGGAAGAUGCGUGAACCGAAGCCCACCGUAUUUCGGCGGGGGCACAAAUUAAGCCGUCCCCAGACGAAAGGCAGGUACGCUGCAACCGCUCUCCGCCCUGCCAGGCGGCAGCCGGCCCGCACCGAGCCCCGACCCCCCCCGGCCCUCCGCCGCUCGCUGCGGGGCACGGCCGGCACCGGGUCCUGAGGGAGCGGAGCCCACCGCUUCCCUCCCGCAGCCCCCGGAAGAGGCGGGGAGCCCUCCUCCCCAGCCAGCCUUCAGGUGAAGGCCCCGGGCUCCGAGCAGCCGCCGGCCUCACCUCCUUCAGCUGCUCCAUCUCGGCGCGGAUGGUCUCAUACUCCAGCUCCAGCUCCUCGUACUGCUGCUUCAGCUGCUGCUUCUCCUCCAACACGGCCAGCCCGUACUCCGCCGCCUGGAUCUUCUCGCGGGUGGUCUCGCCCAGCUCCUGGAAGAGCCGCUUGAUCUCGCUCCGCAGCCACUCGGGCUCCGACUCCAUCACCAGCCGGGAGUACUCCUCCUCCUCCAUGCCCAGCGACAUGUCGGCGGCGGGGGCACCGCAGCCGGCGGGCGGAAAGGCGAACGCGCGGCCCGUCCCCCGCUCCUAGCAGCGCCGCGGCCCGCGGUCGGCCACGGCCCCCCCUCCGCCGGCAGAGCCCGCUCGGGCGGCCAUCCACGGGCGCAGCGCUGCGCUGCGGAGCGCCCCUCGCACCGCGCCGCCGCCGCGAAACUCGCCCUGAGCGCCGACCGCAGUGAAAUCAUUCAAAGGGAACGGCCGGCCCGGCGCCGCGCGGCGCGCUGGGGGCUGUAGUCCGCACGCGCCGCCGCCCCGCGGGGAGCGCCGCCCGCAGGACUACGUCCCCCACAGUGCACCGCGGCGGCACCGCCCGCGGGGAGGGGCGGUGGAGGCGGCGGGGCAGAGCGGAGAGGAGCAGAGCGGCCCUCUGCCGGGCUCGGUGCGUAUGGAAUGGAGCGAGCGCCGGGGCUGAAGUCAGCGACGGGAAACCGAGCGACAAAAACAGAAGGUCUCGGCGGCGUGCGGUACAGGAAGGCGCCCAGAGCUCAGGAGCAGCCGCGCUCAGCGGGUCUCGCAGAGCGGAGCGCUUCACGGAACCGCUGCCAGAGAGAGAACCCUGCGCGGAGCCGCCCCCGGGGCUGCAGCGCCGGCAGCGGGCGUGGGGGAGGGCAGAGCCGGGCCUGGGGCUUCGGGCACGCUUCCAUGUCUGACGCCGUUUUGUCAGACCGCCCCUCGGCGCCGUCUGCCACACGGCAGCGCGUCCGGAACGUUGGUGGGAAGAUUCAGCCUCUGCUGCAGUCCCACCAACGUCCACCUCUGAUAUCGUGGGCCAACGUCAUAGAAUAAGAGGCGUUACUUUCAGAGCAGCCCUCGCAUUUUAGACUUCUAUCAAAGAUCAGUAGUUAAUGGUUGCUUUGCAGUUGCAGCAACACUCGUGCUACAAAAGACUAAACGCAGCCAUUAGCAGCCCAGCCCACCAGCAGCAGUACCACAGAUGAAACCUAAUCACUACAAGCACAAGAGUGGCAGAAAAUUCACCACCACACGUAUGUAUGUCCCUGGUGCCUGGCUGCUCGCUUGCAAGCACUUGCGAGAUGGGUGGAGGUCAGCAGGCUUCAAAAGCAGUUGAAAACAAAAAGACAGUUCCUUCUUAAAGGAGAUCCAAUAGCAGGCAGUGCUGGGACACGAUCGCGGACACCAUGGUGUGGUUCCAGCUUGCCAGAAUGAAGGUACAGCGGGCAGCACUCAGCAUCGAAAGCAUGCAAGGGUUUCACAUCUGCAGAGCAGUUGGUCCAUCAAGGAGUUCUCUAUCCACCAACAGGAGAAAAAAGCACCAUGCUCCCCAGCAUUAGAAAGAGCUUGGCCAGUGUGGCAAGGGAAGUGAUUCCACCCCUCUGCUUUGCCCCAGUGAGGCCAUGUCUGGAGUACUGGGUCCAGUUCUGGGCUCCCCAGGCCAAGAAAGACAGGGAACUGAUGAGAGAGUCCAACGGAGGGCCACAGAGAUGAUGUGGGGCCUGGAGCAUCUCCCGUAUGAGGAAAGGCUGAGAGAGCUGGGGCAGUUCAGCCCAGAGAAGAGAAGGCUGAAGGGGGAAUCUUAUCAAUGCAUAUAAUUAUGUAGAGAGCAGGAGUGAAGUGGAUGGGGCCAGAUUCUUUUUGGUGGUGCCCAAUUCUUUGUGGUGGUGCCCAGCAACAGGAGAAGGGGCAAUGGGCACAAACACAGGAAGCUCUAUACAAACACAAGGAAGAACUUCUCUUGAAGAAUAACAGCACUGGCACAAGGCUGCCCAGAGAAGUUGUACAGUCUCCUUCUCUGAAUGUACUCAAAACCUGCCUGGAUGGUUACCUGUGCAACCUACUGUAGGGAACUGCUGGAGCGGGGGGUUGGACUCAGUGACCUCCAGAGAUCUCUUCCAACCCCUGCAAUUCUGUGAUCACUCUGAGAAGAGCACAUCUGAGGGACAAGAUGCUCAUGCAGCACAAGACUACUUGACAGAAGUAGUGGGAAGUAUUGUGUCAAGUUCAGCUGGCACAAAUAGAUGUGAGGCAGUAACACCUGGGCAACUGCUUGAAAAAGGAUUUGCCAAACUGCUAGGAAAAAGCCAUCGGCUGUUGCUGCAGGUUAUACCACUGCACAAAUGGUAGGCAAAGACAGUAGUAGAGUAAGCAGACACAGUAACUGGGAUCCUCAUUCCUCAGCCAUGGGCAGAACUAAUUUCAAAAGUGUGCUGAAGGCAGAACUGAGCCAAACACCUCUCUUAGUGGGACCACUGUACAUGGGAACAGCUCCAUCACGUCAGUGUGAAUGGGCCCCACUUUAUACCCAGGUGAGGAGCUGCCUGCUUCACCUGGCUGCCCUGCUGCUUCACCCCUUCAGCACAGUUCAGCUUCUUCCAGAGUCAAAAAUAAUUGGUAGUGAAUUGGCAAGCAAAUGCCAAACACAAUAACAACAAUUAUAUGCUUGAGCACUCCACAAGGUCUAGCACACAAAGUAUCACCUUUGUUCAUAGCCACAGGGUUUUUUCCAUGUGCUUUCAACUUCUGUCUGUGCUCAUCAUGCUCUGUCCUGGUACACGUGAGCCCUUAUCCCUUUAAUGAUCUGCUCCAUGGCUGAAUUUUGCUUCUGAGCCACAUGAAUGCCUCAUCUAUUUCUCAUCAUGGCCUUGGCAGCACCUGGAGCUCCUGGUGCCCCAUGUGCAGGGAUGUAUUUAGCCCCAGAGCACUGAUGCUACAUGCAAACGGUUUCCUGGAUCUAAGCAGCAGUUUGAUGUUCUCAGCCCAUAGCACGUGUGUGAAAUUCCUUCACUUGUUUAUCUUCAAAAUCCCUUGGGAAAGGUUUUGUUUGUUUGUUUUUAAUAGCAGCUAAGUAUCUAGUUGGCCUUCACAGCCCCAUUCUGUGUGACACUGUUGACACGCUCUCUUGUGUCAUCUCCUGUCUUCGCAGCAGCCCCCAUGGCAGCACUGUCCCCACAGUGGGCAGGCUGGUGGGCACUCCACUGCCUCCAGGGUCUGUCUCACCUCGCCCCUCUGCUUUCCAUCUUGCACAGAAACCCGAGGACCUGAGACUGCCUUCUUCUUCUUCUUUUUUUUUUUUUUUUUAAGGAAUGUGCUGUGUUGGCAAAUUCUGGUAUUACACCCCAAAGGGAUCCAUUAACAUCCAGGUAGUUACUUCAUAAUAAGCUUUGCAGAUUUGGAUGCAAAGAGGUGCCUCUGACAGGUGUCGUCAGUGGGAUAAGGUGUGUCUGAUGAUGAGAAAAAGUCAGCAGGCAGAGAGGCAGAGUGUCACUGAGGUUCUCUUCAAGUUGGUAACAUUUCCUCAGAGUUACUUUUAACUCCCCUAUCUGGGUGUCCCCAGGAGUUAAGGUUCUGUAGCCCACACACUGGGAAGCUAAAAAAAAUUGGAGAAGUAAAUUAACAAAAUCCCCUUCUUCCCGAUCAAACCAUUUUUCCCAAGUGAGAAAAAUAGAAGCAUUGUCUCUUGCAUUCUCCUGCUCCCCGUUUUUAAUUAUUAGGAUGUCUUCUCAAAUCUGUAGCAUUUUAUCAUUUUCUUUUGUCUUCCCCUAAUCGGUAGCAUUGAUAAUCUCACAUGUUCACUAAUGAUUAGUCCAUAUUUAUAAUAAACACUGAGUUUUCUUCUGCCUCAUAUGUUCUGAGCCCUCACUGUUCUCAGGCUUUACCCUGUAAAUCAGGACUCAAACAAGCCCUAGCUUUUUGUCCUCUCCAGAAGCUGAAAUUUGUUUGUAACAACUCACUCUUAGGGCAUGGGGCUUCAGUUCACAUCCUGAACACUGCUGGGCUUACAAUUAAAUGGUGAGAUCUAGCCAGUUUCUGAGAUUAAUAGAGAUAAUAGUUCAAACAACUUCACCUGGUAAUUCAUAGAAUCACAGAAUUGGUCAGGUUGGAAAAGGCCUUCAAGAUCAUCAAGUCCAACUGCAACCUAACCACACUACCCUAACAACCCUUCCCUAAACCAUGUUGCUGAGCACCACAUCCAAACGGUUUUUAAACACAUCCAGGGAUGGUGACUCAGCCACCUCCCUGGGGAGCCUAUUCCAGUGCUUAACCACCCUGUCUGUAAAGAAGUUCUUCCUAAUAUCCAACCUAAACCUCCCCUGGUGCAACUUGAGGCCAUUUCCCCUCGUCCUGUCACCUGUCACCAGUGAGAAGUAAACCCAAGAUUUGUUAGUAGGUUUCAUGCUUUGUUAUUGUUCUAAACUGCUCAAGAUGCAAAGGAAAAUGUCCGUCAGUAACUGCAAAUAUCGCUAUUUCAAAAGCAUUUCUGAACAGCCUAGGAAACAAGAGCGGCUUGUCAAAGCUGAGGCUCUCGUGAUCAUUCAAGGUAAUGAUGUAGCAUAACAAAAAUUUGAAAUGACUGAAUGAGCACAGCCCGGCCUGUGCCCAUAGCCUCCUCUGGGUGCAGCCAGAGGUCACAGCCUAUUUCAUUGUCAGUUCACUGUCUCUAAACUGCAUCUGUGCAAAGACACUGUUGAAGGAAGGCUGUGCAGGAGGCAGGGAAGAGUGGGGAUAACCUCUCAGGUUGUUUCCUGAGGUGUGUGAUGAUCACAGACUAUCACACGAGGCUGGUCACAAUUCAGCCUGCCCACGAGCUUCGUGUAUGGACAAGUAACAAAUUACCAUUGUCUCCUAUUUCUUCCCAUUUCCUAUUUAAGAAGAAAAUAAAAUGACUUUAGUGAAAAAGAAAAUAGUUCGGGACAGGAUCAAUGUUUGUGUGAGGUACAGUAAUGACCUUUCUUAACCAAAAGACAUUUCAAAAUAAGAACCUGAAAGUGACUGAAAGCUUCAGAUAUUCACUGGUAGCUGAUAAGCUGGGGAGAAGCAGGUGAGCUGCUGGCAGAAAGCUGCCAGAGGGAAUGUCUGCGUGCAAGGAACAAGCAGAGGAAUUACAGAUGCUUAUCGCAAAAUGGAAUUCUUAGGAUGUCUCAGCAUCAGGAGAAAAAAAUGUGACUUAGCUUUCAACGUUUGACAGAAUGCCUUGGCUGGGUGUGGGGAGCACAGGACACACACAGCCCGCUCCCUGACCCAAGUGCUGAGAUGCCCAUGCCUAUCAGUGCUGGCCUUCUGCCAGGAGCUGCAGAGGAGGGACGGCUAGGGGGUCCAAGUAGCAACAUGUCUGGCACACCAUCUGCCAGGUGUAGCAGGGACCAGAUGCUCAAGUUACUUCUUUAUUCUGCCAUGAUGGAACAAGCCAGGGAGGAAGGGAGAUUUUUUCCCAAAACGUUUUCCUUUUUCCUCCUUUACUGCAAGCCCGAACCACCCCUCACAACCACCUACAGCUUCUUAUGACCAUGAGGUGCACCUGUUACUUUUCAGCAUUUUUCUUCUUUGCUCUCAUUCAAUGAGAAAGCCUCUUCCAAUGCACAAAGAAGUGCUUAGGUAAACCGGAGCCAAAGACACUCCAUGACCACAGAUUUUGUCUUUUGGUCCACAUGGAGGUGCUGGGAAGCAGUGUGCCUCCAGGGCUGGCUGGGGGCUCAUGGCCUGGCAGCUGUACAGGGUGUGUGGAGCUGUUGUUAGGCCAGAACUGCAGGCCUGCCUGCCAAGGCAGCAGUCUGACAUGGCUUUCCCAGGCCUGUAGGUCUGUGCAAAGGGCCAUGUCAGCCCAAACAACCACGCUCUCUCUUCCCAGCUCACCUGUGGGAAAGGACCAUGUUUGUGCUUCACCCCAGUGCCUGUUUGGAGGAAAACAUUCCCUUUUAAACCAUGUCCGUAUGCCUGAUUGACAAGCAGUAAAUGAGCUGCCACUGCUCCAUCUCUUUUGACGAGGUAAACACACCUGCGUUUGGAUUUAAGCCAAACCCAUUUCAUUUUUGAUAAAUCAUCCAGGCACAUGUUUAAACUGAAGCAAAACAAGAAUCCACACAGCAGUGUACCAGUAUAACUACAUCAGCAACAAAGAAAAAAACACUGCAGUGUUAUUUCUCUUUUCCCCUCCAUCUUCAUGUUGUAACUUGAAAGGGUCUCAAGUUCUGGAGGCCACUCACAAAGGAGUAAUACUGUAUGCAGUAUGGACUUGGCUGGUACAGAUUUGAUUUUCUCUGCAUAAGAAAUAUUUCUACUUCUAUCAGUGUGAGAAGAGACAUUCACUUAUUUCUCAUAAGCUCUGGAAGGAGACAAGCACAGCCAGAGCUUGCUUUUGGUUGCAGUCAGAAGCAGCAGGAACUUCAUUGCAGUUAGUUGAAUUACACCAAAUUUAUGUGCCAUGGGUAAAAUCAGUGUGUUGGCUCCAGAGCAGGCACAGUGAUAACACCAAUGGGUCACAGCAGAUUUGGUGCUGCUGAAGAGCACCUAAGCCACCCCAGCCUUGCGCUAGAGCCCUAGCUCUGGUAUAGGCACCUCCUGCUCCAUCAGGAAAAAUUUUCCUGAAGAGCUUAUCUAGAAAAAAGAGCUAUAGGAAGCAUUUUUGCCAUCAAGUGAUUUCUUCACUGCUAGAAUAUCUUCCUGGCAAUGCCAGUUUUCUAACACAGAGCAAGUCGCAGAUUACUGCGCCAGAGCCUAAGGAUUGCAUCAGAUCUGCUUUCAAUUCAAGACAAGGCUCACGUGAAAGUCACUUUCAACUGUUUCUCUCUACUAAGGGAGAACACUUCUGUGCACCUCGGGCCUCAGCCAGAACUUGAUCCACUGUGAAUGACUUCGUGUCAUUCAGUAAGUGACACACACACUUUAAAGCAGAGCACUUUCCCCCUUUUAUCAAAGCUAUACUGUAAGUUACAUCUCCUGCUGAGACAUGUGCCCACUGCACUGCUAGGUAGAUAAGCAAGGUGCAAAAUGACUGCAGUUCCUUCUCUACUCAUUUUGCUUUUUUUCUAAGCACAGCAUUCCUCGAUACCAAAUCUCUAGUUUAGAUAAAGGAAAAAGUCUGUGGAGUUAAUUGCAUUAAUUAAAAACCUCAUCGACUAAAUGGUUCACAGAAAGUCUGAGCUCAUUGCCGUUUUCUUCUAAGUAUGUUAUAUAAGCAUCAAUUACAAGAACAUCAAGUUUAAAUAAAAAUCAGAAGCAAAGUUAUUUCAUUUUGGACAGAGGAAACAGCUUCUUGGUAGAGGCAGGCAGAGAUCACAGCAUGCAUGGAAAUAGCUGUGGCACAGGCAGCUCACUGCCAGCAUCACAAAGGAGGCAGGGUGUGAUCCAGCACUAAAUUAAUCAGUGCUUCCAGCACAGAGCUAAGAGUUAUGGAACAGGCAGGUAGGUGUUUCGGUUACUUUUUUAAUGUUGCUUCCACUUAUGUAUUUUAGGAAUUCACUGACAUCUGCUAUAUAUAUUUUUUCCAUCAAUUUCUAAUAGCUGGAAUUCCACUAGAGCUGUUUUAAAUAUAACUAACAUGUUUUAUCCAAGCAAUAUUUAUUAUUAUGGACAAUUUCUGCACCUGCUAAUUGAGGCAGGGUUCAAGUUUUUGGAAAUAUUAUUAUGUGGAUUGAAUAUUGUAAUAAUAGGCAGCUAUUUGAUACAUAUGGUUAGAAAUAAAUAGAUUUGUACCUUAGUUUUUGUGGGGUUUUUUAUGUCUAUAUUGCUGUGCUCCAGCCUUCAGAUAAUGCUGCCUUUCUGGAACUGACCAAAACCACCUGCUAUCAAAAGGAAAAAAAAAACAAUCAGAUAAAACCUCAAAUUAAAAAAAAAAAAAAAAAAAAGGCAACCCCAGGCAAGUAAAAAACUUCAGACAUUUAAAAAUUGAUAAAGAUGACAGCAAAGAGUUGAUAUGGGCAGCACUGAAACGCCUCAGUGCUCGGUUCAGAGCCCCCGUGGGUGGGUUCAGGAAAACAAGGAUGGAGAGCACCAAGUUAGUUGCACCUUGUUAAAUGCAACCACAUAAACAACUAGACUUUAAUGGGAUACUAUCUGUAGCCAUCACAGAUUUAUACAUCUGAAUUACAAAGUGGCUUCUGUGUGUCUGCAGAACAGAGGCAGGGGUAUGUUCCUGCCCAGUGUGCACACAGGCUUCCUAGAAGGGGGCUGGGUCUGCCUUUACUCAAGUUAGUUGUCCAUGUGAAUACAGGGCUGUUCUGCCCUCACUGGAGAUGUUCCUGGCUGACACCAAGAGUCACUUCCCUUUUACAGAAAAAUACUGCUUUUAUAAAGCAAGCAUGAACCUAUAUUUACACUGAUGGAAAAUAAUAAUAAGGAUGUACUUUUAUGCACCUCUAUGUACAUCCUUAUGUCCAGAAGUCAAAUUCUUUGUCACUGUAAGCAUAAUUAAUCCCACAGAAAGAUAAAAGCAGAUAUGCCACAGACUUUCAUAGGAGUCUUUGUGGGAGCAGACAGCUGCAUUCAUAGCAGCAGCCCCCAGGCUGGCCACUGCUACAGGACUGUCCCCAUUUCUUCUGGCAGAUGAUUAGGGCUCCCCAUACGAUGCUGAGCUGUCAGUAAUACAUACAAAGAGAAAACACUGACAGCACAACCUCCAUUCAUUUGUAGUGAAAGAUGGUUUCCUGGGCAAGCUGUCUUGCAAAGACCAUGAGUGUGAGAAGGAAAGGUGAAUAGCAAGGAAAUAAAACAGGAAAACAAGAAACCAAUCAGAGUGGGAGAGUUGGGUCCAAACAUUCUGCUGCACAAUUCAUUUGUACCCCCUUCCUUUUGCAUCUCCCCCUCCCAGUGGGGCUGCCGUUCCUUCACUUACACGAAACGGAGUCAUCAGGGGAGCCACCAGCAUCAGAUAAAGCAGGCACAGCUACACAGGAUUAAAAUGGAGCAUGUUUAGGUCAAAAGACAACUUAAAAAGGGAAUUGGACUUAUGCUUUCUCCCUCUGUCAGGAAAGUCUGUGGGCUGGCCAAAGUAUAAAGUCACAUCUUUAAUCAUGUCUAUCUGGAAGAAGUCUUAUAUUUGGAGGGAGCUUGAAGCCAGAGACAGCCUAAUGGGAGACCACAACCACAUAACUGAAACCAGCUAUCACCCUGUUACGAAACAAACUCACAGUAUUAUACAGGUAAUGUCACUCUAUGUAGCACAAAUGAAAUAAAUGCUAAUGGUCCCAUACUUGAACAGAAUAGCAGCUGUUCUUAUGGGUGAUAAUGAAUUCAAAUGGUAAUCACAGCCCACCAUUACAAUGAAGCCUGCUAGCGAAGUGUUACUGUAAAUAAAAGUCCACAUCACAUCUGAUGCCUGGAAUGUAACGAGCAUUCUCCUGACUCCAUUUAAGCCUACUGACACAUAAAUAUCCCAUGUGUGUUCCAAAUCUGCCAAUAAUUAUACUUGAAAAAAGAUACACCCUAUUAGUUCAGGGAAACUAGCUGCACUGUGGUCUUGAGGUCAUUGCAGCCAUUAGCUUUUAAGAGCACAUGAUUUAUCGGUAUCUCAUCGAUAUAUUUUGCCCUUGCACCUUCUGUUUCUUACCAGUCUCCCUGAGCUCUCCUUGCUUUCCCAGCCUCCCCUGCUCAGCUCAGCACAAGGGGAUCAGGCUGCAGUAGCCACCAGGAAAGUGCAUCUUUAUCUCAGGCACAGCACAGUGCCACUCAGCACUUCCACAUCCAUCAGCCUUGUCUUUAUCUGUUAGCAACAAAUUCUGAACUCCUGCUCCUGUAGACCUUUGUAAGAUGAGCAAGUAAUCGCACACUGCUUCCCAAAAACACUCUUAUGGAAAUAAGAGUAAUCCAACUGUUUUCAUUGGCCAGUUAAUUAUGUGCUGCUCUGUAACACUGGUGAAAUGGCAAUACAUUCUAGAGUAUAAUUCAAUACAAGGGAAAUAAACAUGCAGAAAAAUAAAUAAGCUAAUGGGAGUUAUCAAAUCAGGCUUUAAACACGUCUUUAGGAGCAAUGAGAAGUCAGAAAUUAGGCCCAAGUUCAGACCAAAGAAAGAAGGGUUUUGGCCAGCAAUAUCUGUCUCAGACUCCAGCACUGACUGAGAAAACCACGGGCCAACUUCUGCAAACAGUCCUUCAUUUGUAUCACUUCAAAGAUGCUAUUCACAUGAGUAAAAUUCCUUACCUAAGUUGUCUGCAGGAUCAUGCUUCGUGAUAGGAGCCAGUGUGGCUGGAGAAGUGUUUUAUAUUGCUUUACUAUUUUUAGUCCAGUAAAGAAGGGGAUACUCUCUCCUAGUGCAACAUAACCAGAUAAAAGCACAUUAACUUGACUUCAUCAUGGCAUAUAGCUUACAACUAAUGGAGCCUAAAGGAAAUUGUAUAACCUGGUGUACAUUCUUCUAUUACAUAGCACAGGCAAAUGAAGUGUCACUGCUGGACUGACUUUUUAUUCUUUGGGUGCUGACUCUGCGCUCCUCAGAGCACAUCCUGUAUGUUUUUUAUAUGGUUCAUAUGUGUAGGAGUUAUGCUUCUCCAAGAGCAUAAAAGAAUCCCUCAAGCCAUGUAGGAAAUUUGUUUUUGAGAGUGGCCAGUGAGUAGAUUUUGUCUUUUGUGGAAAAUGUGAGUCAGACCCAUGUAAAAAAGCACAGAAAACAAACAAUGUGCUAAAAGGAAUGCUCGACGUUUGUGUAGCAGCCUUCAGAUAAGGUUCACAAAACUACACAAUGGUUAUCUGAAUAUUUGAUGUAGAUAACUACUAUUUAUAUUGCUUGAUAUCUCUAUGGUAGCCAUGUAAGAACUAUAAAGUAUAACACCUUUCACAUAGAAGUAUACAUUAAUUUCUGAAGCUGGCUCUGUGUGCUGAGUGCUUUAUGUAUUGAGUUUCCACCCUAGUGCUGGAUGUCCAGUCAAUGGCAGCCACCAAUCUAGAGUAAAUCCAGCAGAUAUAGACACAUGUACCUGCAAUGCACUGGGUGUGUGGAAUGCACUUGGAGGUUGGCAGGUAGUCACAACUCGCUCAGCUAGAGGAGGUCCAAAAGUCACAAUUUCCUCUUCUAACCUCUACAAUACACUUUUUUGUUUCAGAAAUGAAAAAGAAAAAUUGUUUUGUUGAACCUCUCACACCAUAAAUCCUCUGUUCUCUGUGCUAGUUGGAUGACUGUUCUCUGGAGAAGAACAAGUACCUCCUUUCCCUUCUGUACAGCGUAGCACACUCCCUGGGGAAAAAGCUUUUGCAGCCACCACGUAUUUGGUCUGGCCUAAACAACCAAACAGUAACUCAAGGUGUUGCCCACCAACAGCUCACUUGUUUGGACACAACCUGGUUAUCUGAGGGGAAACCUGGCCAAAGCCACAGCCCCGCUGUGAUUUGUGCUGGGUGCCUGGGGCCUGUACAGAAAGAAAGAUUUCUAAAGGAGAGGAAGAAAUCAGACCUCAUGCAGUACCUUUGAAAAUCUCUCCCUAAAGGCAUAACUCAAAAAGCCAUUAAUGGGGCAGAGAGUUUUCAUUAUUCGAAGCAUGUUUAUUGCAUCGCCUUCCCCUGAGGAAAAUAGCACCUGCUGUGAAAUGGAAGGCAGUUAAUGGAUUGCAGCAGCAGGAGCUAAAUAUAUUUCCCUCUCUUCCGUAAGUACUGAAGAAAGAAGAAAAUGGCCAGAACAUGCAUUGCCCACAGAGGCGAAGUGCUGCUCCAAUUCCUUGGACAAUGCAUCAGUUUUACAGCUUCUAACAGAGCUUUGCUUGUCGCCAAGUGCAGAUGUUGUGCCCGGGGAGAAUUAUUCCUCCCUAAGUAAUGCUGGCCAAAAAAAAACCACCAAACUGCUGCAUACAAAGAUUGGUGCAGGGGUCAAGGACUUUGAUAGGCAGAGGCUCCUGGGGGCACAGGCUGCCCCUCCAGCCUAUCCCACAGGUACAAGGGGCAGGGCAGGCUGGAAGGGUAUACCUGCAGAGACCAUGCCCAGCAUCCCACUGGAAGCAAGGCUGCUUCCAGCACUAGGUCAGGUGUUCCAUAGCUCAGUCCACCUACACCAUGCCUCUCUAGGUAGUAUCUCCCACAGUAGCCUCUUUUUUGUUGCCAUAGCAUGAUAUCAGAGCAUCUGCAUCCCUGUUAAAAGCACCCUCAGACAGUAUGUUUCAUGUCUUCCCCUUGCACUGUGUAGAAAGCUGCCAGCCCACCAUGCCGGUCUGGCCCCUAAGGUAAGCAAAUCCCACAGCUGUGCACAGCAAACUCUACCCAUAAAAAAAAAGGCACUCCAGGCUGGAGGCUCACAACUAGCUUUGCUUCAACAUCUCUUGCUAACCAACUCCAUGGCCUAUUGACCCUUAGGUCAAUAGAAAAGAGCAAACAGUAGAAAUUUUCUUGAGCCUGGCUCUCUCUCACUGCUCCCUCCUCAAAGCCUCAGAGAUGUUGUACAGUUCACUCACCCUUCCCUCUGCUCUGCUUCUAUGUGAAGGAGGAAAAGACAUGGUGUCUGCCCUUCUGUUAUCAAGUUCUCAGGUCUGCGGGUUAUUCUUAUUCUUGUUUAUUUGUUUGUUUUCCUUGGUAUUCUAUCAGUAUUUUUCUUAUCUCUUCCUCAGGUCUGAAGAAACAAAGUUUUGGUAGCUUAGCUGAGAUUAGCCAGCACGAAUAGCUAAGUCCUUAGUCCUUCAGGCUCUUCCCAGGCCCUUGCACUACCAGAUUUUUGCCUUCUCUUUUGUUUCUGUACAGUCUCCCUUGAGAAAUGGCAAACAGUGUGAAUAGUAUCAGGCAGGUAAAAUGAGGCCCAUACAAUUUCCAUAUCUUGCUUUCCACAACCUCUUUCCAGCAGAAGAAAGCCAGGAUAUCCCCUAACGGAGCUGCACAGCUGUGGUUAUUAUCCUGACACUGCAACAUAAGCAAAGCAAACAAAAGUAAUGCUUAAGUGACAAUGCAAGAAAGAAACUGGAGACUGGAUUCCUCACCAAAGCCACUGGAAGGUAAGGCAAAGCCAGGAGGAUUCCUACUUUUAGAACAUUCAUAGAAUUUUUUAACAAACCAGUACAUGCAGGACCUGUAAUUAGAUAUCCCAAAUUCCUGUGCUGACUUAGAAGAUAAUAACCGAUUUGCAGGGAGAGAUGCUUGCAUGUAUUGCCUUUGGAAAAGAUCUGAGACUGAAUCAUGAGCAUCUUCAUCCUUGAAGCCAAUGUUGCUCUGAAGGAAACACUGAAGGGUGAAGUAGAAGAAGUCAUUUCACAGCUUUGAUUAAAAAUAUUAAACUCACACCUUUUAUAUGUAGCACUAGGAUAAAAUACAAAGUUGGGAACAUAAACUGUGUCUGUGACAUAGCCCUAACGCUUCCUGUGCGCCCUUAUUCUCCACGCACAUAAGACAUUGGUAGGGUGGAUUGAAGAGUGUUUGUGUGCUUCUGCAAAGAAACUGAUAGACCGACAGCUCCAAGCUCCCCGCAGGAUCUGUGCUAGCUAUGGACUGCUAGGUCUGCACAUCACCAGUACAGACUUUUCUGUGCCUGCUUGGACAGACUGAAACUUCCACCUUUCUCCUAAUGAUAAAAUAAAGAGUGAAAGAAUAGAAAUAUUUUCAAUGGUUUUUCCUCCCAGUUCUGCAGCAGGCUCUAGAUAAAGUGCGAUUUCCCAAUGAGAACUGGGGUGAGAAAUAAGAAAGUCAAUUAAAAGACAGAUUUCUGUGGUACCUUGGAGAAAUGUUAAUGAGACUUUGGUACCUCGGCCUCCUCUUCCCCUGGCUUCAAGACACUGCACUCUACUAAAUUAUUUACAGCUUAUGUAAACUAAGAAUGAGUGGAGCCAGAGUGUUUUGAGAAGCAGAUGCUGAGGUUGCCCUUUCCUCCUUCUCCACUCCUGGCAGAUAUAUUAUGUUCACAGCGAGAUGAUCCUGUGCAGCUAUACUUGUGGGGUUGAAUUUCUCUCCUGUUCAGCUUUCUCCUGCCAUUCCCUCACCCUGUUUGCCUUUCCUUCCUCUUAUGAGAACACCAUCCAGUAAACCUUGAGCAGGCCCUGCCUCACCUUGAGAUUAAAUGCUAGCAGCUGACCACAGCCUCCUUUACUAGAGCUUUGUCAUCAAAGCUCUUUGUUCGAUUCCUGCCCUCAUUCUUUCUCCUGCAUGUUUACAUUCCUCAUGUUCCCACUUCAAGCGCUUCACCGCAUGACCCCUGCUUUGUACCAUACCUAGUAUACAUACAUUUCUCAGAGCACACCUUUUUUUUACAGGUUUUCAGUCUCCCUCUCACUGGUUCUGCAGGAGCAGUUGUGCAAGCAGUGUUACACACCCCAGCAUGCCUUCCUGCUGGAUCACCACAGCACCAUAAAAUUUAUAAAUCAAUCCUCAGUGCUUCAUCUGGGAAGCACAGGAGAACUGAGCCAUAAGCAGUCAGACCUUUCACACUGUGCAUAUGAAUGUAUGAAUGAGGUCAUGUUUUCAAGGCUUCUACACUCCUGAGAGGUGGUUGCCCCU
Molecule: long non-coding RNA, 14909 nt
Organism: Gallus gallus (chicken)
Lineage: Eukaryota; Metazoa; Chordata; Aves; Galliformes; Phasianidae
Exons: 2
Source: RefSeq, a predicted model, not a curated record